Molecule: ribosomal RNA, 442 nt
Filed under: uncultured bacterium
Lineage: Bacteria
Description: bacterial SSU rRNA
Rfam family: Bacterial small subunit ribosomal RNA
Source: RNAcentral
ACGGCUCAGUAACACGUUGGGAAUCUGCCCCGAGGAACGGGAUACCCAGGCGAAAGCUUGGCUAAUACCGUAUAUGACGGCUUAGGGAUGCCUUUGCCGUUGAAAGGCCGCAGCAAUGCGGCGCCACGGGAUGAACCUGCGGAUGAUUAGCCAGUUGGCGGGGCAAAGGCCCACCAAAGCGAGGAUCAUUAGCCGGACUGAGAGGUCGGCCGGCCACACAGGAACUGAGACACGGUCCUGACUCCUACGGGAGGCAGCAGUAGGGAGUAUUCGGCAAUGGGGGAAACCCUGACCGAGCGACGCCGCGUGCGCGAUGAAGCCCUUCGGGGUGCAGAGCGCUGUGACGGGGGACGAAUGCGGAGGGCAGGAAAUGGCCUUCCGUCGACGGUACCCCGUUAGAAAGCUACGGCUGACUACGUGCCAGCAGCCGCGGUAAUACGAU